Molecule: ribosomal RNA, 554 nt
Filed under: uncultured bacterium
Lineage: Bacteria
Description: bacterial SSU rRNA
Rfam family: Bacterial small subunit ribosomal RNA
Source: RNAcentral
GUCUGAGCGCAGCCUGAUCAGCCAUGCCGCGUGUGUGAAGAAGGCCUUUUGGUUGUAAAGCACUUUUGUCGAGGAGGAGGCUACUUUGAUUAAUACUCUGGGAUAGUGAACGUUCCUCACAAAAUAGGCCCCGGCUAAUUCUGUGCCACCACCCGCGGAAAUACUAAGGGCGCGAGCGUUAUUCGAAUUUACGGGGCGAAAAGCGGGCGUAGGCGGUUUUUUAAAUCGAAUGUAAAUCCCCUGACUUUACCUUAGAAUUUGCUUUCGAAACGGGGAAGUUAAAGGUGGGGAGAGGAUGUAAAAUUUCCAGGUGUAGCGUGAAAAUGCGUAGGAUCUGGAAAAAUACCGAUGGCGAGGCCCCCCUGGGGCCUAAUACUGACGCUGACGUAAAAACGCAUGGAGAGCACACAGAUAUUAUACCCCGUGGUACUCCAUGCCAUACAAUAUGUCCACUAUGCUGUGGAUCCUUUGACGCUUUAACGGCGCUACUAACUGAAUAUGAACACCGGCUGAGGAGUACCGCCACAUUACUACUCCUCGAUGUAAUUUGGCGG